GCUUUUCUUUUGCAAAAAAAGUUAAUUUUAUUUUUUGUUACUAUACUAGUAUUUUGGAUUAUGUAGAUUGAAAUUGAAAUCAGUAAUGGCAAGGUCCGUCCCAUUCCGCCUACAUCCUCGUACCCCCGUUCUCCUACUUCACUCCCCCUUUUCCACCUCCCUCGUCUUUCACGUCAAUCCGUCUCUUCCCCACACCGAUUCCCCUCUCUCUCCUCUCCCACAAUCACCACUCCCUCUUUCAAUCCAUUUCCCUUUUCCGCGCCGCCCAAUUUCUCCAUCUCCGCUACCGCGAUCGCAUCUUGAGCUGAAGAAGGCGCUGCCACCCCUAGUGAAAGUUAUAUGCAGUGUCUGGUCGGGCUUUUGGCAGUGGCAGUGGACUUAGAGGAUUAGAGUUGACUGCUAAGGAAGAUGAAGAAGGGGGGGGGGGCACUAUCUCCCCAGCCACUUGCCAGAGAUAGGAAGUAGAACCUUGGGGUGAUGUAGGGUGGUACUGGUACAUGAAGCGAAGAUGGUGGGUGUUGUAACAUAUGGGUCAACUGUUGUCUCUACACAGCUAACAGGGUAAUCGAAUGUUGUAGGUGCCGAUGACUUCUUUAAUGUAUAGAUUGGAUGAUAUUUUGAAACCAGUUCCCAUCUAGGUGUACCAUUCAUUGCCUUGUCUAACCUAACCUAACCUAACCUAACCUAACCUAUCCAUUGUCUUCUCUAACCUAUCAAGACUACUCUCCAUCUGCCCUGUGGUUACCAUAUAUUUUCACCACUUUUUUGAGACUGAAAUACAUAUUGAAACUAUCCUCUUAUGAGGCCACUCUCUACAAGGCCCUACCAUAAAUUGCCAUCCAUAUACUAAACUCAAGAUUUCCCCCCACUUCUCUAAACUAGGUGACCAUAAUAGAUGACAUUUCUACUUGGAGCUACAAAUAGUAAUUAAUAUUAUUGAUUGCAUCUCAUGAUUACUAAUUGCCGUUGCAAUUAUUAUUCUCCACUUUUAGCCAUUAGCACCAAUUGUCCAACUUGGAUGUGUAAUAUAAAUGCGCUAUCAGUUUGGUUCAUGGAAAGCCCUGAUGCUCCAUACUCCCCAUUAUUUUCUGCAUUUCUACAUUGCUAUUUAUAUCUUGCUUUGGCUUGGUGGGGAGUGGAAUCCAAUUUUCAUCAGGAUUUUAGUGUUUAUUAUCCAUAUUUUGUAGCUGUGUAUCCUACUCCAUGUUUUUGGUUAUUAAAGAGUAACAAUCCUUUUUAGGUUUGGAAGAAAUGCAUAUAAUGAUCUGUUUAAACGGUACACUUGGAGUUAAUUGUGAGUUUGCAUGAGUUAAUCUUUUCUCAUUACAUGCAAAAUAUCUAGAAAAUGCUUUGAAAUUGUCCCGCUUCCAUUAAAGGAAAAAUUGAUGGACUUUAGUUGCUAACCAUAGAAGGAAUGAUUGAACAAAUGCCCUUGUGCAACUUUCGAUAAUGGAUUGACUAGUUUGAUCUCUAAUUGCUGACGGAAGGCACAGAUUGCUAAUCAUUGUUGCCUCUUCCUUGUAUGAUAUGAAUACAGCCUGCUCUGCUACUGUAAUACAAUACCUGAGCUAAGAACCUAACUAAGGCAGUAUGGCAUCUAUAAAGCAAGGACUAUAUGGAAGUGGGUUCUAACUUGCUUUGCCGGCAUGAACAAAAACCAUUAGGAAGGAUCCACUCUUGGCUAAGCUCUUUGGGCAGACUUUCUUUAUCCACUAACUUAUUCAACCCACUUUUCUUUACAUUUCUUAAAAUCCGCACCCACACUAAAUGUGACACUUAAUGCGGGACGGAGGUAGUAUAUUAUACACCCCAACCCCACCCCUCAUAUAAAAAGGGCAGCACCGAAGAAAGGAAAGAGCGAGAUGGUGGUUUUUGAAUCGCUGAUUGAGCUUUCUACAAACAAAGCAAGCUACAACAUUUAUCUUAUCUAACCUUCUUGCCUGUGUAUAGCUCCCCUCUAUAACUUGACACAGGCUCUGAAUUUUGAGAUUCACACGUUGCUAAUUAUUUUGUAAACUGUAGUGCUUAAGUAAUGGUGAUUGUGGUGCAGUGAGUUAGAAAAUUUAAAGUAUGAUUGUUUCUGUAAAGAUCCCUUCGUAGGUAUGUGAUGUUUACUUGAGCUUGGUUUAUGGAUACCUUAUUGAUUGGUUUUGCUAAGAAGUGUGGCUGAUAGAAAAUGAUUUGGACGGCUGCUGGAUUUACCACUGUUUUGCUAAAGAAAAGCAGCUCAGCUACUUAUUCAGCCACAGAAACAACUCAAUCGAACGAAUCACAUAUAGAAGAGAAGAAGCCCUUUUCUGUUGAAAACUUGAUGUUGGGUGCAUUUGAGAAGCUGUUCUCCUUUCUUCUUAACUUGCCUGAUGCAAACUGGUCAAAGCUCAUUCAGUAUCAAUAGGAAUUGAGUGUGUGUUUGAGGAGACUGCGAAAGAUCAUAUCCAUCCUCUCGAGGGGUCAGCCACCUUGUCCUCAACUGUAUCUGUAUAGUACUGGAGAUAAGGUUAUCCCAUUUCAAAGAGUCGAGACAUUCAUGGAGGAGCAGAGGAAAAAUGGGAAACACGUCUUCUCUUUUGAUUUUGGCUCAUCUCCUCAUGUCGAUCAUUAUCGCACAUUUCCUCAUGUGUAUGCUUCUCAACUCGACAAUUUUUUGAAAGAAUGUUUGAGCUUUGUGGAGAAGUUGUAGAAGGGUAUGUUGCUUCUUUUGGUCGAACCAAUAGUAGUACUAAUUUUUAUUAAGAACAACUCAUAUUUGCAACAAUUCCUUUUAACCACAAGCGUCAUUUUAUAUUUGUAACACUAUUAUAUCAUAUGUAAGAAUAUUAACACAGUAUAAAGAGAGUAGCAUUGAAUUUAUUUAACUUUUUA
Molecule: RNA transcript, 2862 nt
Organism: Salvia splendens (bonfire salvia)
Lineage: Eukaryota; Viridiplantae; Streptophyta; Magnoliopsida; Lamiales; Lamiaceae
Gene name: transmembrane protein 53-B
Exons: 2
Source: RefSeq, a predicted model, not a curated record